This is a long non-coding RNA of Oncorhynchus gorbuscha (pink salmon), 2238 nucleotides long. RefSeq lists it as uncharacterized. The record is from RefSeq and is a predicted model, not a curated record. NCBI's taxonomy places the organism in Eukaryota, Metazoa, Chordata, Actinopteri, Salmoniformes, Salmonidae. The transcript is spliced from 2 exons.
UCUCAUUUUGUCUGUCAUAGUUGAAGUGUACCUAUAAUGAAAAUUACAGGCCUCUCGUCUUUUUAAGUGGGAGAACUUGCACAAUUGGUGGCUGACUAAAUACUUUUUUGCCCCACUGUAUAUAUGACAUUGAUUUUAGCGUUGCCAAAUUGGCUUAGUCUCGUAGUGAGGAGCCUAUAAAACCUAGCUAGCUUCAUAAACAUUUUUGGGAAUUCUGAAAUGUAUUGCAAUAAAUGACCAAACUAUAAAACUAGCUAGCCAGCUACGGAGAACUGUAGCUAGCCAGCUACGGAGAACUGUAGCAAGCCAGCUACGGAGAACUGUAGCUAGCCAGCUACGGAGAACUGUAGCUUGUCAGCUACGGAGAACUGUAGCUUGUCAGCUACGGAGAACUGUAGCUUGUCAGCUACGGAGAACUGUAGCUAGCCAGCUACGGAGAACUGUAGCUUGUCAGCUACGGAGAACUGUAGCUAGCCAGCUACGGAGAACUGUAGCUUGCCAGCAAUGGAGAACUGUAGCUAGCCAGCUAUGGAUAACUGUUGCUAGCCAGCUAUGGAUAACUGUAGCUUGCCAGCUAUGGAGAACUGUUGCUAGCCAGCUAUGGAGAACUGUAGCUAGCCAGCUAUGGAGAACUGUAGCUAGCCACUAUGGAGAACUGUUGCUAGCCACUAUGGAGAACUGUUGCUAGCCAGCUAUGGAGAACUGUAGCUAGCCAGCUAUGGAGAACUGUUGCUAGCUAGCUACGUUAGCUUGCUAGAUACAUGAAUAGCUGUGGGUUGGUUGUUUUUAAGCUCAACUCCAAUAUUUCCACUAAGGACGUUGCCUCCGAUCAUCACACUCUAAUUAGAAUUUGGACUGCAGCCAUGGUUUUAGGUGCUGAUGUGUUUCCUUAAUGAUGGAUCUUUUGCAACUCCCUAAACGCAAUUAGGACCAUGAAAAUGAUAUCUGAGAGACUACAGUUAUUACUACAUGAGGACAGAAUGUGUCCUUGUGAAUCAUAAUCACAGUUCCAUAAAUCAGAUUUUUUUGCACAAAUUGUGGUUGUAGAUUGGAAGGUUGGUAAGCACCUCUUAUAGCCCAUCACUUGUUUAUAGAAUAUUGGAUUUCUGAUUGACCGAAUGAUAUACUCUCUUACUCCACUUAAGAAAAGGUAAAUGCUACUAUGCAAACUUAAUCGAAACACUGUUGGCUUAGGAAUAUUUGGGAUUCAGGUGGUUGGAGGCAAGGAGGUGAGAGGUGACGAGGAGAGGAUGGUUAGAAGGACAGGUGAAUAAGGAUAGUUAUAUUCCUGGAAUGAUAUUCCUGGAAUCUCCUCAGAGAUGAUGCUUCCAGUGAAUAACAGCAGACAGACAGUUCAAUAGACAGAGGCAUUACAGUUAGAAGUGAGGAAUAAUCAUUAGACUACUGAAUGACCUCUAGAGCUGAAUAACUGCAGAUAGACAGUUCAAUAGACCGAAGCAUUAUGGAUAGAAGUGAGGAAUAAUCAUUAGACUCCUGAAUGACCUCUAGAGCUGAAUAACAUGUAAGAGGACGUGGCAGGGACCUCUACUGAAGUCUAAAGAGGUUUAGAAUCUAUUCCAUGUCAAUCCAUCAACAUGACACAAUCUGUUUAUGAAGACGGAUGCAAGGUGUUUUGGGUGAAGAUCGAUUAUGACUGAAACGAAUGAACCACAACUGGGUUUUAUUCUGUGUGGAGAAAUGUGAAGCGGGUUAUCCGGUAAACAGUAAAUCACAUUUCAAUGGCCUAACCGGUAGGGGAUAGAAUACCAAACAGACCUUAGAUCAGCUUCUAGGGACAACUUAAUCCUUUAAAUGGCUCAGUGAGAGACUCUAAAGACACCCUGAGAGAAGAGUCCACUCACAGACAGACAGAGACAGACAGAAAUGCUGUUUAUUUAUUCACAUGUUCACUUGACAACGCUGCAUUUAUUUAUUACCUUUAUUUAUUAAUUGGCAGCUGUGUUUCUCGCUCUUUGAACUUACAAUUGGUUGACCGAUUGGUUGACUGAUGCUCUUGGGAAAGUUGCUGUACAGCGGUUUGUUUGUGGUUUUUACUGUUAUGAUGGGACAAAAUUUUUUGGGGGGAUGAUUGGAUUUUUGGACUAUUGUGCCUUUACCAAAUAGGAUGUGUACAAAACAACAAAGCAUUUUAUUCUUUCAAAGCAUUUUCUACUGCAUUUUGAUAAUUUGCUUGUCUUUCUUAAUAGCACAGUGCACAAUCAGUCGGAUAACACAGUA